GAUCCUGGCUCAGGAUGAACGCUGGCGGCGUGCUUAAUACAUGCAAGUCGAACGAACGGAGAGAGAAGCUUGCUUUUCUCGAAGUUAGUGGCGAACGGGUGAGUAAUACAUAAGCAACCUGCCCACAAGACCGGGAUAACCGCUGGAAACGGCAGCUAAUACCGGAUAGGUAACGAGAGGGCAUCCUCAUGUUAUUAAAGUUGAGAUACACUGGUGGAUGGGCUUAUGGCGCAUUAGUUAGUUGGUGAGGUAACGGCCCACCAAGACGAUGAUGCGUAGCCGACCUGAGAGGGUGACCGGCCACAUUGGGACUGAGACACGGCCCAGACUCCUACGGGAGGCAGCAGUAAGGAAUUUUCGGCAAUGGGCGAAAGCCUGACCGAGCAACGCCGCGUGAGUGAAGAAGGCCCUACGGGUUGUAAAGCUCUGUUGUGAAGGAAGAAGAUUACGGAAGUAUCCGUAAGUGACGGUACUUUACCAGAAAGUGACGGCUAACUACGUGCC
This 504-nucleotide ribosomal RNA is filed under the name uncultured organism. RNAcentral describes it as "SSU rRNA". It matches the Rfam family "Bacterial small subunit ribosomal RNA", at positions 15 to 509 of the family's 1533-position model. The record is from RNAcentral.